CGGUUCUCGUACGAUCACCGAAGUUAAGCAAAGUCGAGCCUGGUCAGUACGUAGAUGGGUGACCGCUUGGGAAUACCAGGUGCUGUAAA
This is a non-coding RNA of Acanthosepion pharaonis, 89 nucleotides long. NCBI's taxonomy places the organism in Eukaryota, Metazoa, Mollusca, Cephalopoda, Sepiida, Sepiidae. The record is from the annotation of a GenBank genome assembly.